Long non-coding RNA from Calypte anna (Anna's hummingbird), 757 nucleotides. RefSeq lists it as uncharacterized. The record is from RefSeq and is a predicted model, not a curated record. NCBI's taxonomy places the organism in Eukaryota, Metazoa, Chordata, Aves, Apodiformes, Trochilidae. The transcript has 2 exons.
UCUCCUUCUCCCUCAUCGCGACAAAUGGCGCCCGAACAGGGACAAAGAAUGGCCCGGACCAGGAACUAAGGCCGGCCGGGACCAGGGACAAAACCGAACGGCGAGAGCCCCGGGGACAAAACCAAACGGCGAGAGCCCCAGGGACAAAACCAAACGGCGAGAGCCCCAGGGACAAAACCGAACGGCGAGAGCCCCGGGGACAAAACCAAACGGCGAGAGCCCCAGGGACAAAACCGAACGGCGAGAGCCCAGAAGCCACGGUCCGAUGCAGUAACGGUCGAUCUUGAUGCAGCACAAGAGGCAGAAGAGCUGGACUCCGUGCCCCGAGCGACCUUAUAGAAGAGUCUCGGUCGACGACACCGCCGAAGCCUUGCAGGGCUGCAACAGCGCGCUGACGAUUUUCUAUGAAGGAACUAGGACUCCAUCGUGCUGUGAGCCAGUGGGACUUGGAGACGCUUAUAGGGGCCCCCCGACAAGAUUCCGUCGGAUAAGCCUCUCCUAUCCCUCCUUUGACUCUCUUCACUAGUGGAUGCCAAACCUUCCUAAUAUUAAACAGAGCUCUGUUUGAGAGUACGUGUGUAUGAGUGCUUGUGUGAAACGGAGAUAUGCCAUGAAUGCAAAGUCGACUUACACUUGAUUAUGGGAAACAAAAUCCAAUUAAUAACCUAUUAACCAGUAUGUUUUGAUUUGUUAACUGAGUAGUUUUAGAUUGCUUCAUAAGGGCAUUAUGAUAUUGAAUGUAUUUUUAGGUUCUGCA